RNAcentral lists this ribosomal RNA (506 nucleotides) under uncultured Actinomycetes bacterium. RNAcentral describes it as "uncultured actinobacterium partial 16S ribosomal RNA". Lineage: Bacteria; Bacillati; Actinomycetota; Actinomycetes. The record is from RNAcentral.
AUGCGUUAGCGACGGCGCGGAUCCCGUGAGUUGGAACCCACACCUAGUGCCCACCGUUUACGGCAUGGACUACCAGGGUAUCUAAUCCUGUUUGCUACCCAUGCUUUCGCUCCUCAGCGUCAGUUUCAGUCCAGAGUGGCGCCUUCGCCACCGGUGUUCCUCCUAAUAUCUGCGCAUUUCACCGCUACACUAGGAAUUCCCCACUCCCCUCCUGAACUCUAGUCAGAGCAGUAUCGGAUGGCGUCUCCGGGUUAAGCCCAGAGUUUUCACACCCGACUUACUCAACCGCCUACGAGCUCUUUACGCCCAAUAAAUCCGGACAACGCUUGGAGCCUACGUGUCACCGCGGCUGCUGGCACGUAGUUGGCCGCUCCUUCUUCUGCAGGUACCGUCAUUUUCGUUCCUGCUGAAAGCGGUUUACAGCCCGAAGGCCUUCAUCCCGCACGCGGCGUUGCUGCGUCAGGCUUUCGCCCAUUGCGCAAGAUUCCCCACUGCUGCCUCCCGUA